AGUGAACGCUGGCGGUAGGCCUAACACAUGCAAGUCGAACGGCAGCACAGGAGAGCUUGCUCCUGGUGGCGAGUGGCGAACGGGUGAGUAAUAUAUCGGAACGUACCCUAGAGUGGGGGAUAACGCAGCGAAAGUUGCGCUAAUACCGCAUACGAUCUACGGAUGAAAGUGGGGGAUCGCAAGACCUCAUGCUCAUGGAG
Molecule: ribosomal RNA, 200 nt
Filed under: uncultured bacterium
Lineage: Bacteria
Description: partial 16S ribosomal RNA
Rfam family: Bacterial small subunit ribosomal RNA
Source: RNAcentral